CUUUUAAGCUUUAUCACUCUAUCUCUCUCUUCAUUUUCUCAGCUGGCCGGUCCUUGAGCUGUGAUCGGUUGUGGCACGUAGACUCCGCCACCAUCAUCACCGAUCGACCAAUGUGUGAUAGUGGACCCUUUGGAAGUGUUGCAUUCAAU
This is a non-coding RNA of Caenorhabditis elegans, 149 nucleotides long. The record is from Ensembl. NCBI's taxonomy places the organism in Eukaryota, Metazoa, Nematoda, Chromadorea, Rhabditida, Rhabditidae.